AGUGAAGCGGCAACAGCUCAAAUUUGAAAUCUGGCCCCGUCGGGGUCCGAGUUGUAAUUUGUAGAGAGUGUUUCGGGUGAGGCCACGGUCUAAGUCCAUUGGAACAUGGCGUCACAGAGGGUGAGAAUCCCGUAUGUGACUGUGGUCCGAGCCCAUGUGAAGCCUCUUCGACGAGUCGAGUUGUUUGGGAAUGCAGCUCAAAAUGGGUGGUAAAUUUCAUCUAAAGCUAAAUACUGGCUGGAGACCGAUAGCGCACAAGUAGAGUGAUCGAAAGAUGAAAAGCACUUUGGAAAGAGAGUCAAAAAGUACGUGAAAUUGUUGAAAGGGAAGCGCUUGCAACCAGACCUGUCCGUAGGCGAUCAGCCGCUGUUCUCAGCGGUGCACUCGCUCUGCGAUCAGGCCAGCAUCGGUUUCGGCGGUCGGAUAAAGGCCCUGGGAAUGUAGCUUCUUUCGGGGAGUGUUAUAGCCCUCGGUGCAAUGCGGCCAGCCGAGACCGAGGACCACGCGUAUGCUAGGAUGCUGGCGUAAUGGUUGUCAGCGACCCGUCUUGAAACACGGACCAAGGAGUCUAACAUCUAUGCGAGUGUUUGGGUGUCAAACCCAUACGCGGAAUGAAAGUGAACGGAGGUGAGAACCCAUUAGGGCGCAUCA
Molecule: ribosomal RNA, 651 nt
Filed under: Usnea baileyi
Lineage: Eukaryota; Fungi; Ascomycota; Lecanoromycetes; Lecanorales; Parmeliaceae
Description: partial large subunit ribosomal RNA
Rfam family: Eukaryotic large subunit ribosomal RNA
Source: RNAcentral